Molecule: small RNA, 127 nt
Filed under: Staphylococcus aureus
Lineage: Bacteria; Bacillati; Bacillota; Bacilli; Caryophanales; Staphylococcaceae
Description: Transcript
Source: RNAcentral
CUACAUUCGUAAGAAUCAUUAAGGUAUCUGCUUCAAUCAGCGUUGCUAAUUUCUCACUAGCAAAAUCUUUAUCUAUAACCGCUUCAACACCUUCAUAGGUAUUUUCUUUUUUUAUAACUGGAAUACC